AGAGUUUGAUUCUGGCUCAGGAUGAACGCUAGCGGCAGGCUUAACACAUGCAAGUCGAGGGGCAGCGGGGAGGAAGCUUGCUUUCUCCGCCGGCGACCGGCGCACGGGUGAGUAACACGUAUGCAACCUGCCCCUGUCAGGGGGACAACCCGCCGAAAGGCGGGCUAAACCCGCGUACAUGCCACCGGGGCAUCCCGGAGGCAGGAAAGGCUUCGGCCGGACAGGGAUGGGCAUGCGGCGCAUUAGGCAGUAGGCGGGGUAACGGCCCACCUAACCGACGAUGCGUAGGGGUUCUGAGAGGAAGGUCCCCCACACUGGUACUGAGACACGGACCAGACUCCUACGGGAGGCAGCAGUGAGGAAUAUUGGUCAAUGGUCGGGAGACUGAACCAGCCAAGCCGCGUGAGGGAGGAAGGUACAGAGUAUCGUAAACCUCUUUUGUCAGGGAACAAAGGCGGGGACGUGUCCCCGGAUGAGUGUACCUGAAGAAAAAGCAUCGGCUAACUCCGUGCCAGCAGCCGCGGUAAUACGGAAGAUGCGAGCGUUAUCCGGAUUUAUU
RNAcentral lists this ribosomal RNA (559 nucleotides) under uncultured bacterium. RNAcentral describes it as "bacterial SSU rRNA". It matches the Rfam family "Bacterial small subunit ribosomal RNA", at positions 8 to 555 of the family's 1533-position model. The record is from RNAcentral.